CAAUAGCGUAUAUUAAAGUUGUUGCAGUUAAAAAGCUCGUAGUUGGAUUUCGGGGUGGCCUGCCUGGUCCACCGCAAGGUGAGUACUGGUCAGCCGCCCUUCCUCUCGAAAGCCCCGACUGCUCUUCAUUGCAGUGGUCGGGUAGUUCGGGACGUUUACUUUGAAAAAAUUAGAGUGUUCAAGGCAGGCUAUCGCCUGAAUACAUUAGCAUGGAAUAAUGGAAGAGGACCUCGGUCCUAUUUUGUUGGUUUCUAGGGCCGAAGCAAUGAUUAAGAGGGACAGUUGGGGGCAUUCGUAUUUAAUUGUCAGAGGUGAAAUUCUUGGAUUUAUGAAAGACGAACUAGUGCGAAAGCAUUUGCCAAGGACGUUCCCAUUAA
RNAcentral lists this ribosomal RNA (377 nucleotides) under uncultured eukaryote. RNAcentral's name for it is "partial 18S ribosomal RNA". It matches the Rfam family "Eukaryotic small subunit ribosomal RNA", at positions 592 to 976 of the family's 1831-position model. The record is from RNAcentral.